GGUAAAAUGGCUGAGUAAGUAUUAGGCUGUAAACCUAAAGAUGGGGGUCUANGUCCUCCUUUUACCA
RNAcentral lists this transfer RNA (67 nucleotides) under Macaca nemestrina (pig-tailed macaque). RNAcentral's name for it is "tRNA-Tyr". It matches the Rfam family "tRNA". From Rfam's summary of the family: Transfer RNA (tRNA) molecules are approximately 80 nucleotides in length. Their secondary structure includes four short double-helical elements and three loops (D, anti-codon, and T loops). Lineage: Eukaryota; Metazoa; Chordata; Mammalia; Primates; Cercopithecidae. RNAcentral also lists the same sequence under 1 other name. The record is from RNAcentral.